Molecule: long non-coding RNA, 611 nt
Filed under: Urocitellus parryii (Arctic ground squirrel)
Lineage: Eukaryota; Metazoa; Chordata; Mammalia; Rodentia; Sciuridae
Description: lncRNA (ENSUPAG00010018479.1)
Source: RNAcentral
AAUCCUUUUGUUCACCAUGAUGCUUCCAGAGUCCAAACUAGGCCUCUCAAAAGUAUUUGGUGAAUGAAGUAGUGUGGAAAAUGCUUUUGACAAAGGACAGAGUGGAUGUUGUUUGGAGGAGUCGUUUAGGAGAGAAAUUAAGGUGGUGAUGGAAGCAAAGACCAAUUGAUCUAUUUGAAAUAGAAGGUAACAUUAAGGGACGGUUUAGAUAUGACAGUGGAAAACUAGCCGKGUUAGAGUAACCCCUGCAUUUCUAGCUUGCAUAACUGGAUGGCUAAUGUAGUUAACCGCUGAGAUAAGGAAGCUAGAAAAGGAACAGGUUUGCAGUGAAAACAUAGGAGUUUGGUUGCCUUGGAGACAUCCAAGAGAAGUUAAGUAGGCAUCAUUGAUGCCUAGCUGUGAGUAUAGAGCAUAAGAAAAAAAAAGCUGCAUGUUGUGCAUACUUCAUAAUGAAGUUCUGGGAGCCCAGAUGCUCAGACUUUCCCACCGCAGUGCCCCUAGUGGCAGAGGAGAAGAAUGCAGGUGGCUGGACUCUAAAGGUAACACUUCUUCUGUUCUCCCUUUAAAUUUUUAGAUUUUGUGCCAGUCUUUCCUUAUGCUCCAUGAUACAU